GAUGAACGCUGGCGGCGUGCCUAAUACAUGCAAGUCGAGCGAACAGACGAGGAGCUUGCUCCUCUGACGUUAGCGGCGGACGGGUGGGUAACACGUGGAUAACCUACCUAUAAGACUGGGAUAACUUCGGGAAACCGGAGCUAAUACCGGAUAAUAUAUUGAACCGCAUGGUUCAAUAGUGAAAGACGGUUUUGCUGUCACUUAUAGAUGGAUCCGCGCCGCAUUAGCUAGUUGGUAAGGUAACGGCUUACCAAGGCAACGAUGCGUAGCCGACCUGAGAGGGUGAUCGGCCACACUGGAACUGAGACACGGUCCAGACUCCUACGGGAGGCAGCAGUAGGGAAUCUUCCGCAAUGGGCGAAAGCCUGACGGAGCAACGCCGCGUGAGUGAUGAAGGUCUUCGGAUCGUAAAACUCUGUUAUUAGGGAAGAACAAAUGUGUAAGUAACUAUGCACGUCCUGACGGUACCUAAUCAGAAAGCCACGGCUAACUACGUG
Molecule: ribosomal RNA, 497 nt
Filed under: uncultured bacterium
Lineage: Bacteria
Description: partial 16S ribosomal RNA
Rfam family: Bacterial small subunit ribosomal RNA
Source: RNAcentral